This 244-nucleotide ribosomal RNA is filed under the name Agaricales sp. RNAcentral describes it as "partial large subunit ribosomal RNA". Lineage: Eukaryota; Fungi; Basidiomycota; Agaricomycetes; Agaricales. The record is from RNAcentral.
AAACGUUUCAAGUCAGUCGCAUUGGCCAGUAAUCAACCUUGCAAUCUUGCGAGGCUUAUUUUCUGGUUGAUGGGUCAGCAUCAAUUUUGACUGUUAGAGAAAGGCUUGAGGAAUGUGGCAUCUUCGGAUGUGUUAUAGCCUUCGUUCGUAUACAAGCGGUUGGGACUGAGGAACUCAGCACGCCGAAAGGCCGGGUUUUUAACCACGUACGUGCUUAGGAUGCUGGCAUAAUGGCUUUAAUCGA